Molecule: ribosomal RNA, 159 nt
Filed under: Senecio scandens
Lineage: Eukaryota; Viridiplantae; Streptophyta; Magnoliopsida; Asterales; Asteraceae
Description: 5.8S ribosomal RNA
Rfam family: 5.8S ribosomal RNA
About the family: 5.8S ribosomal RNA (5.8S rRNA) is a component of the large subunit of the eukaryotic ribosome. It is transcribed by RNA polymerase I as part of the 45S precursor that also contains 18S and 28S rRNA.
Source: RNAcentral
GACUCUCGGCAACGGAUAUCUCGGCUCACGCAUCGAUGAAGAACGUAGCAAAAUGCGAUACUUGGUGUGAAUUGCAGAAUCCCGUGAACCAUCGAGUUUUUGAACGCAAGUUGCGCCCGAAGCCUUUUGGCCAAGGGCACGUCUGCCUGGGCGUCACAC